This 726-nucleotide ribosomal RNA is filed under the name bacterium PosPoac1. RNAcentral's name for it is "bacterial SSU rRNA". It matches the Rfam family "Bacterial small subunit ribosomal RNA", at positions 72 to 811 of the family's 1533-position model. The record is from RNAcentral.
GAAUUGGGUAACCGAGACAAUCGUUAGUGGCGAAAGGGUGAGGAAUGGAUAGGUAACGUACCUUUGGCUUCGGAAUAGCGUCCCGAAAGGGGCGGUAAUACCGGAUGAUAUCACAGAGUGCAGGCUUUGUGAUCAAAGAUUUAUCGGCCAAAGAGCGGCCUAUUCCCUAUCAGCUUGUUGGUGAGGUAAUGGCUCACCAAGGCGACGACGGGUAGCGGGACUGAGAGGUUGGCCCGCCACAUCGGGACUGAGACACUGCCCGGACCUCCACGGAGGGCUGCAGUAACGAAUAUUGGGCAAUGGGCGAAAGCCUGACCCAGCGACGCCGCGUGCAGGAGGAAGUCCUUCGGGAUGUAAACUGCUGUCAGGGACUAGAAAGCUACGGUUGAUCAGUCCCAGAGGAAGUCACGGCUAACUUCGUGCCAGCAGCCGCGGUAAUACGAAGGUGGCAAGCGUUGUUCGGAAUCACUGGGCUUAAAGGGCGCGUAGGCGGACCAGAAAGUGUCUUGUGAAAUCCCCCGGCUUAACCGGGGAAUGGCAGGGCAAACUACUGGUCUUGAGGCAAGUAGGGGUGUGUGGAACUCUUGGUGGAGCGGUGGAAUGCGUAGAUAUCAAGAGGAACGCCGAAGGUGAAGACAGCACACUGGACUUGUACUGACGCUGAGGCGCGAAAGCGUGGGGAGCAAACAGGAUUAGAUACCCUGGUAGUCCACGCUGUAAACGAUG